UGGCUCUUAAAAGAGCCUUUGGGGUGUAUGUAGCUGCUGUUGACAAAAGAGGGAAAAGGGAGAAAGGACCAAAUAUGAGUAAAAUAUGUCUGUACAAAUUCAAAUGUUUUCAGUUCCAUCAGUGAUUAUUGAUUAAUUAAUAUGUUAUGACGAAACUGGCAAAUCAGAGAUGCAGAAUUCCAUUCUAGUCUAUUAAUUAAUUUAUUUAAAUAAGUAUCCUUUUAAUGUCUUCAUUAAGAUUAUAACUUGCCACAUAAAGUUGCUUUAAUUGAUAUAUUGAUCAAUUAGCAUGUUAUGAUGAAUCUGGCAAAUCAGUAGGUUGACUUACAACAAUCAGAUGGCAAUCAACACUGAGAAAAAAGAGAGAGAAGAGAAUAAAUUAUUUGCAUGGUAUAAAUUCUCAAAGUUUCUCAAAGGCUCUGAUGAAUACAUAAUCCACAUUAAGAUGCAUUUAGAAUAAUAACAACAAUACUACUACUACUACUACUACUAAUAAUAAUAAUGAUAACUAUUAUUGUUAUUAUUGUUAUAGUUGAACAAAAUGAGAGAUGAUCUAUUUCAUUAUAGAGGGUUUAUGAGUCUCUCUCUCUCUCUCUCUCUCUCGGUGCCAGCGUGUGUGAGAGAGAGAGUGAGAGGGAGCUCACGCGCUCGCAGUCAAACCUGUGACAACGCAAUAUUUUCCAUACAAAUUAAAGAUAUUAUGAAGCAUAGUUGUAUAACUUAUCUAUUUUCAAUGAACGUUAUCAUGACAGAUAACUCAAACGAAAGAGCGUCUCUCAAACGGAGCGUAUUGGCUCCAUUAGCAAUGAAGUCGUCACACCGAUGUAACCAACGUCUUCUCACUGACGUCACUCACUUCUAAAACUUGUCUGCCGCCAUCUUGAGUUACCUCAGGACGAAAAAAGACGCCAUCAAGAGGGCAGACUGGACACCAACAGCAAACACUCGUCUGUGCAGUGCUCAUUUUUUCUGUGGUUUGAGAGUCCCACUUUGUUAAAUAUAAUUGAGCAACCAUAGGUGGCGAUAAGCACGCGAGCAGGCAUUGAGGCAAUGGAUGAAGAUGAGCCAGCUAGCUGCGCUGAACGUGAUCAUUGUUGAUGGUUGAGAGUGAGAUGUGCUUUGGGAAACCAUCAUUCUCUUCAAUGGCUUCACAAAAUUCCGACUGAAAAUUUACUGAACAAAGAGUGAAGUAGCAAAGGUAAGGUUUUAAACUUCAGUUCAGUGAUACUGAACAAUAACUCUUCUGUGGUGUACGAGGAGAGGAUGUACAAACUGCAAGUAAUGAUGGCGAGCCAACCCAGACUGUGGCUUUCAUCUUUGUUUCAACUGUUCCUGCAAAGGCGACCUGUUACACAGCGGAUUCUCUGUAAACUGAUACCAAACAGUUGGAGUAUCCGGAUCUGUUUUUAACUGAACAAGGCAUCGAUUUCUUCCAUUCUUCUACCAAUUUUUUUUUUUUCUGAAUUGGAAAUCUUUUUUCUUCAACAUCUUCCUGAACUGAAUUGAAUUGUAUUCCACGACAAGAACAGAAAUUAAAUGGAAUUUAAGUACCACACAUUAUAAUUGUAUUUUCAUUUCAUGUACAGCAUAAAUUUUGUGUAUUGCUUGUCUGUCUAACAGUAAAGUGCUGACUUUUUUUAUUUGAAACUUUUUUUUAUUUUAAAACUUCAUGACAACCUAAAUCUGUCCUAAUAGCAUCACUGUUGUGUUGGAGAACACACAUUAUAACUUCCUUCAACUGUCGGUCAUAGCGGGCUUGUGGGCAUCUUCUGAAAAAAAAAAAAAAUCUUAGAGAAAUGUUGCAAAAAAGUAUCCCAUAUAAUUUCAUUCUAGAAAGGCAUUUAUAUAAUAUAAUUGUAUGUAGUCUUACAAUUGAUUCCACUUAUGUUACAGUUAUCAGGUGAUGGAUUCAGCACUGUAAAAUUGUCAAGAAGUAUCUGCAAAUAAAUAUUAAGCACAUUGUGA
Long non-coding RNA from Cyprinus carpio (common carp), 1965 nucleotides. RefSeq lists it as uncharacterized. The record is from RefSeq and is a predicted model, not a curated record. NCBI's taxonomy places the organism in Eukaryota, Metazoa, Chordata, Actinopteri, Cypriniformes, Cyprinidae. The transcript is spliced from 5 exons.